This 5550-nucleotide long non-coding RNA is filed under the name Lupinus angustifolius (narrow-leaved blue lupine). RNAcentral describes it as "long non-coding RNA (LANG_LNC001380)". The record is from RNAcentral. Lineage: Eukaryota; Viridiplantae; Streptophyta; Magnoliopsida; Fabales; Fabaceae.
CUUAUGUUUUGUCAUUCACAUCUUCUCUCUAAAGUCUAAACUCAACUAUCAUAAUUAAGAACCCCCUCUCCUUCAUUCAAUGAAGAAUCCUCUCACCUCGCUUUUCGUGCUCCAUUUCCACUUUUCAUAAAACCCCAUUUCCUAAUUCUCUCUCUCCAAGCCCAAGCACAACAAAGUUCGAAACUUUUCACCAUUUGAGAUCUGGGUUUGGAUUCAUUUUCCGUGUUGCAGCACCAUUUUGGGUUAGUUAUUUAGUUAGUGUGAGAGAUCCAAAAAAUGGGAAGCAAGUGGAAGAAAGCAAAGGUGGCUCUAGGUAUGAAUCUGUGCAUGUUGGUUCCCAGUACCUUAGACGAUGAUUCGCCACUUCCGACGGUGGUUUCUGACAGAUUCUCUGAUGCUGCACUGCUAUCGCCGGCGGCGAACUGGCCCAUCGAUUCUUCACGGCCAACCACGCCGGUGCCGUCUUUUUACGGUUUGAAGCUGUCAAAGAGUAGUAGCAAGUCCUCCAAGGUUUGUGUCUCUCUCAUAUUCAUUAUCCACUUAUUAUUGUUAUGCUAGUUUUCUCUCUUAUUUUAGUAAGCUUUGUUAUGUUUGCUAACUCGGAAGAAUCUAAUUGACCUGCAAGUAUCUGCAAUCUGGUGUUCAAAAAUGGGAAAUUUUAAUGUGCUACGUAAAGAACUUUUUUUAGGGGGAAAGACUUCAUGAAGACAUACGUGGAGAUAACGAAUUAAAUCUUGCCAACACAUUAAAAGUUUAAUUUUGAUUAAAAUUUAAUCAUAAAUGAUAGCACCAAGCAUAAAUACACUUUGUCUCUAAAGUUUUCCUCCUUUUUUGGCUAAUUAAAAAUAAACUAUGUAAAAACAAAAGGAAAAAAAGUGGUUAAGUACACAAGGUCACAAGUGUUCAAGCGAAUAAGCUAUUUUGAGAUAAUGUUCACCCUCUAUUUUAUUUAUCAUUUUAGGGGUUUUGCUAGGGGCUGAUGAUAAGAGGUUAAAAAAAUAGUAAAUUUUCAUUGGAAAACUGAGAUAGUUGAUUCUUGUAGUACUAAACGCAACAUUUUUCCUAUAUAACAUUAACUAUUUUGGCUUCUUAAACUCAGCUUUUUCCUGAGGGUUAAGGAUAACAAAAUUCUUAUUUUAGUACUUUUGGCGUUUGACUACUAAAAUUUUGAGUAAAUUGACAUUAAUAAUUUGUUCCUUGAAAAUAUGUGACCGAAGUCAGUGCCCUAUGGAAAAAGAGUUGGUCUAUAUUGGAAAUCUAAAUCUAAUAAUACUUCUAAAUAUAUGUUAGAUACAUCAUUUUUAAUACAAAAUAACCCAUUUAGUUUCUUAAUAAGUGUACCCAUUAGUAUUCUCCUUAAAAUUAAUUUAUGAUUUAGACGUUAAAUCAUUUGAAUUCGCUUAAUUAAUGUUAAGAAAAAGAGUUUGAAUAAUUUAAGGGCGGAAUUAUAUGCAUUAAUUGUGCGGUUUUGAUGUGCCUUAAGCUGAUGGGUAAGAUCAUUCUUUUCCUUUAUAUUGGCUAAACGUGUUUAUGAGGAAAUAAUACUUAUCAUGAUAUAGUACAAUAUUUGGCUGGUUUGAUUUAGACAAGUCAUAUAAGCAACUUUUAAGUAGAAGUGAUUUGGUAAAUAUUCAAUUUAUGAUUGGAAUUUCUUUUUGCCACCCCUCUUAAUCUCACUAUUUAAAUACUAGUAACUUUUUUUAUCGAUUGUGUCUGUAAACAUUGAAUAAUUUAUUAAUUAUGUAGUGUUCAACAGAAAAUGUUUCUAAUGUUUAAUCUUUAAACGGUAUAUUGUGAAGCUUCAGCAUACACUAUUACUCCGACAUUUUAAAAUAAUAGAUUAGCUAUGUAACUUGAUUUAUAAAUGUUGUUUGGCAUUAAAGAUAAUUGCUGGAAUUCAUAAUCCUGCAUUUUUUACAUAUCUAGUUUGCUCAUGAAUUUUGUUUAUCUGCAUGAAUGUCUGUUAUAUAGCUUGCGUUGAAGUAUUUGUGUUCUUACGAACUUUUAUUUUUCAACCAUUCAGCAAAUCUGCUCAAUAUGCUUAACCAGAAUGAAAGAAGGAUCUGGCCGUGCUAUAUUUACUGCAGAAUGUACACAUUCUUUCCAUUUUCACUGCAUUGCUUCAAAUGUGAAACAUGGAAACCAAAUAUGCCCGGUGUGCAGAGCAAAGUGGAAGGACAUACCCUUUUCGGAUCCCAGUUUGGAUCCUAUUGCAUACAAGGUUUCAUCAAGUCCAACAAAUUGGUCUCAAAAUGAUGUCUUGAUGGCUGUGGUUCACCGCUUACCUCUACCUCAUCCUCAGCGAGAUUUGAAUAGGCGUAAUAUUGUGCCACUUUAUCAGGCUCCAGAGCCAGUCAUAUACGAUGAUGACGAAUUGUUAAAUUACCAACUUGCAUUUUCCGACAGAAGUCCUUGCAGUAAGAAUAAUGAGGAUAUUGUUGCUGUUAAAGCUAUGGAGAUUAAAAUGUACCCCGAAGUGCUGGCUGCUCCAAGAUUCAAUACUUAUUCUAACUUCACUGUUUUGGUUCAUCUCAAAGCUAAUGCUACUGCAGCGGCAUCUGCCGCCAAAAGAGAAACCUUUAGUAGAAACCCGUCUAGCUUCACACAGAUUUCUCAGACUCCGCGCGCUCCUGUUGACCUAGUCACUGUCCUUGACAUCAGUGGUAGCAUGGCCGGAACUAAGCUUGCACUACUUAAACGAGCUAUGGGAUUUGUUAUACAGAACCUAGGCUCUAAUGACCGGCUCUCAGUUAUUGCUUUCUCUUCGACAGCUCGUCGCCUUUUCCCCCUUUGUAGGAUGACUGAUUCUGGGCGGCAACAGGCAUUGCAAGCUGUUAAUUCUUUGGUUGCAAGUGGAGGUACCAAUAUUGCUGAAGGGCUGAGAAAAGGUGCUAAGAUAGUGGAAGAUCGAAAAGAAAAGAACCCAGUUGCCAGUAUUAUACUCUUGUCUGAUGGCCAAGAUAAUUACACCGUCAAUGGCUCUGGAUCUGACCAACCUCAACCAAAUUACGAGCUGCUUCUGCCCACUUCUAUCAGUGGUCGUGAUAAAUCAGGUUUCCAAGUUCCUGUGCAUGCGUUUGGAUUCGGUACAGAUCAUGAUGCUUUAUCAAUGCACUCAAUUUCAGAAACUUCCGGUGGCACAUUUUCUUUCAUUGAAACUGAAUCUGUGUUACAGGAUGCGUUUGCACAGUGCAUUGGAGGACUUUUGAGUGUUACUGUUCAGGAGCUACAAGUAGGAAUCGAGUGUAUACACCAAGAUCUCUGUCUUGUCUCAAUUAAGGCAGGAAGUUACCGAAGCCAUAUGAUGGCCACUGGACGCGAAGGAUUUAUAGAUGUUGGAGACUUGUAUGCUGAUGAAGAGAGGGAUUUUCUAGUUUCAGUUAAUGUAGCAGCUACAUCUGCCAAUGAAACAUCAUUGAUUAAAGUCAAAUGCUUUUACAAGGAUCCCUUCACUCAGGAAACGAUGACACUGGAAAGUGAAGAAGUAAAGAUUGAGAGGCCUGAAACAGACGUAGGGGUCGAAAUGUCACUUGAAGUGGAUAGACAGCGCAACAGGCUCCAAGCAGCUGAGGCGAUGGCCGAGGCACGCAUUGCAGCUGAACAAGGGAAUCUAACCGAUGCAGUAUCAGUCCUUGAAAACUGUAGAAAGAUGCUCUCAGGGACUGUUUCGGCCAAAUCUCAUGAUCGUCUUUGUGUUGCAUUGGAUGCUGAACUCAAGGAAAUGCAAGAGAGGAUGGUGAGUAGGCAUGUUACUUUGAGUGAUCAUCUAUAAUUUUUUUUUUAUUAUUGACUUUUUAAAAAACUAAUAUUAAAUAAAUUGUGGAUGUCGUAUUGAUUGAGUAUAAAUUUUUGCACUAACUGUUAUAUUUUAAAAUAAAUCAUAUUAAAAUAAAAAAAGAAGGAAUCACUUCUUAUUUUACAAUUAUUAAGAAAAUCCCACAAUGCCUCGAGUUUGGCUCCUUUCCAUUACAUGAGAGACCGAUACAUAGUUUAAAUCAUUAUACGAGUAAAAGUAAAUUUUCAAUAAUUUAGAUUUUAAUUUAUUUUUGAAUUAAAUCCAUGUCUCACAAUCAUCCAUAAUGAUGUAGUGGAAUUGAUCCAAUCCCUUUCCUCAUCUUAUAUAGUCCGGGGUGGAAGGUGUUAUUGAAGGUUUCCAAUAAAUAACUUGGUCAUCAAUAUAUUAAUGGGAAUAGAGAGAGAUUUAAAUAAUGAGUGUAUUUGCUUUCCAUUUUGGGUAAGGGGUAAGGAAAAAUCACACAAUCCAACUCAAUCAAAUAUCUUGUUACCUCAUGUAAAAUGUAAAACAAUCAAUUAAACCACUAACUUUUUUCCUAAAAAAAAGUAGUGAUAGAGUACUAAGAUGUGAAAUACACAUAUUCAGUGUUUAUUUGCUAUAAUGGAGAAUUAUAUAAUGAACUUUAAAAGUUAGUUAGUGACAAAAUUAUAAAAAGUCAUAAACAUUUAUAUUUUAAUUUAAAUUAUUCAAUAACAAAUUUCAUUUUUUAAAAGAUCUAAUAAUAAAAUACAUUUUUUAAUUCAAACAUUGAACAAACUCUCUCACUUGAACAUUGCAUGAUUUUUAAAUGAAAAACUAAUGACAUUUGGAUGAAAUUUGUUGCAAGUAUUAACUUUGAUACUUGAUGUCAACUAAUCCUAACUCUAAAUAAUAUUUGACCUUUUAUGGCCCAAACCAGGUAAAGUAACAAAAAUAUGACAUCUAAAUUUAUGAUUCAUGUUUUUCUUAAAUUGAAAUAGGAGAGUACAGGGUAUACCCCAACAUUUUAUGGGCAAUAGUAUCUAAAAAAGACUUAUGAGUAAGGGCGAUAAAGGAAUGAAGACAUAAUGAUAUGAUACAAGUAAAGAGGAUAAUAAAGCACCUAACUUUUUUUCCAUUCAACCAAAACGUGCUUUUCUUUUUAUUAAUGCCUUUUACCCACUCUCUAGUCUUUUUAACACACUAAAAUGAAAAUAACUCAAACAGGAAAAUGAAGUUAACAAAGGUCAAAAUCCUUAGCUCUCAAACCAGACAUAGCAUAUAUUACCCUCACCCCAAUUAGUCCUUAGCCACCAACACCAAACAUCAACAUUUCCAACACCGAUAAGGAUAUGCUGUCAUCAAACCUGUUCCUAAUCAAUCACAAUGAAAUAAAAAUUGAUAAAGUCAUAAAUAUUUAAUUUUUUUAACUAACAUAUCAUAAUAUAAUUGGUUUUUGACAGAGUUUGAGACAUGCUUUGAGACAGCAAACCUUAUCUAUCCAACACUGCAUUAGAAUUCAGCGAUUAAUGAAUAUAGUUUCAUUCUACGACCAAAGUUCCCUUAUGUUUUGUCAUUCACAUCUUCUCUCUAAAGUCUAAACUCAACUAUCAUAAUUAAGAACCCCCUCUCCUUCAUUCAAUGAAGAAUCCUCUCACCUCGCUUUUCGUGCUCCAUUUCCACUUUUCAUAAAACCCCAUUUCCUAAUUCUCUCUCUCCAAGCCCAAGCACAACAAAGUUCGAAACUUUUCACCAUUUGAGAUCUGGGUUUGGAUUCAUUUUCCGUGUUGCAGCAC